This 501-nucleotide ribosomal RNA is filed under the name uncultured Glomeromycotina. RNAcentral describes it as "partial small subunit ribosomal RNA". It matches the Rfam family "Eukaryotic small subunit ribosomal RNA", at positions 591 to 1092 of the family's 1831-position model. Lineage: Eukaryota; Fungi; Glomeromycota. The record is from RNAcentral.
CCAAUAGCGUAUAUUAAAGUUGUUGCAGUUAAAAAGCUCGUAGUUGAACUUCGGGAUCAAUUAGUUGGUCAUGCCUUUGGUAUGUACUGAUUUUAUUGGUUCUCACCUUCUAAAGAACUAUAAUGUCAUUUAUUUGAUGUUAUAGGGAAUUAGGACUGUUACCUUGAAAAAAUUAGAGUGUUUAAAGCAGGCUCACGCUUGAAUACAUUAGCAUGGAAUAAUGAAAUAGGACAUCGCAUUCUAUUUUGUUGGUUUCUAGGAUCGAUGUAAUGAUUAAUAGGGAUAGUUGGGGGCAUUAGUAUUCAAUUGUCAGAGGUGAAAUUCUUGGAUUUAUUGAAGACUAACUACUGCGAAAGCAUUUGCCAAGGAUGUUUUCAUUAAUCAAGAACGAAAGUUAGGGGAUCGAAGACGAUCAGAUACCGUCGUAGUCUUAACCAUAAACUAUGCCGACUAGGGAUCGGAUGAUGUUGAUUUUUUUAAUGACUCAUUCGGCACCUUACG